AAAGCAUUAAAAAAAAAUUGUUUUUUCGUUGCACAGUGCACAAUCUCUCCCUCUCUGACCUUGUCUGCUCGGUUUAAAAAGCAAGAGGGUCUGUGGCAAUUCAAAUGCAGGGAGGCUGAACUGUACAGCCAGCGGGAAGACCUUCAACUUUAUGGCAAGAGACGAGAAAGCAUGAUGGAGAUGCUCUCUGUGCCUUUCUGCUGCCUGCUGCUACAGAGUAAUAGACUGGCAAGUAUGCAGGAUGCAUUAUGAAUAAGGUCUGGCUACAAAAGGCAAAGCAAGCUACUUGUUCAAAGUGAUUCAUUCCAUCACCCACGGAGGUGAAGGGUAAAGAGUUUAUGCAGCAUGCACUCUCUCUCUCUCUCUCUCUCUAGAAGAUAAAUUUGGCUGAGAACACCACAGAUGUUGGCUUCUAUUUUCUAAAGCCACAUUUUGCUGUGUCAGUCCCUCCCAGUGCAGGAUGAGCCUCUGCGUCGCAGCAUGACCCCAACUCUCACCUGAGGAACCAGCUUAGAUUGGCCAUUUGAAACCCUUGUCGUCAUCUGAUUGGUCAAAACAACCUAAGAGCACAUGAUAACUGAACUUGGAUAAGCUGCUGGGCAAGGCCAUUCAGGAGGCGGGUCCUCUGAGAAAGAUCCUCAAAGUCAUGCCGGAAUGGGAA
Long non-coding RNA from Sinocyclocheilus rhinocerous, 661 nucleotides. RefSeq lists it as uncharacterized. The record is from RefSeq and is a predicted model, not a curated record. Lineage: Eukaryota; Metazoa; Chordata; Actinopteri; Cypriniformes; Cyprinidae. The transcript has 4 exons.